This 211-nucleotide ribosomal RNA is filed under the name uncultured bacterium. RNAcentral's name for it is "partial 16S ribosomal RNA". It matches the Rfam family "Bacterial small subunit ribosomal RNA", at positions 1288 to 1500 of the family's 1533-position model. The record is from RNAcentral.
ACGUUCGGAUUGCAGGCUGNAACCCGCCUGCAUGAAGCCGGAAUCGCUGUAAUCGCGGAUCAGAAUGCCGCGGUGAAUACGUUCCCGGGUCUUGUACACACCGCCCGUCACACCAUGGGAGUCGGGAAUGCCCGAAGUCAGUGGCCCAACCGGAAGGGGGGAGCUGCCGAAGGCAGGCCCGGUGACUGGGGUGAAGUCGUAACAAGGUAGC